UCCCCGGUAGCUCAGUCGGUAGAGCGUGUGACUGUUAAUCACUAGGUCGCGGUCAGCCCGUCCCGGGAGCCA
RNAcentral lists this transfer RNA (72 nucleotides) under Thiohalobacter thiocyanaticus. RNAcentral describes it as "tRNA-Asn". It matches the Rfam family "tRNA". Rfam says of the family: Transfer RNA (tRNA) molecules are approximately 80 nucleotides in length. The record is from RNAcentral. Lineage: Bacteria; Pseudomonadati; Pseudomonadota; Gammaproteobacteria; Thiohalobacterales; Thiohalobacteraceae.